Molecule: ribosomal RNA, 105 nt
Filed under: Ruminococcus sp. AF27-12AA
Lineage: Bacteria; Bacillati; Bacillota; Clostridia; Eubacteriales; Oscillospiraceae
Also listed under: 1 other name
Description: partial 16S ribosomal RNA
Rfam family: Bacterial small subunit ribosomal RNA
Source: RNAcentral
AACCGUAAGGAGGGAGCUGCCGAAGGUGGGACCGAUAACUGGGGUGAAGUCGUAACAAGGUAGCCGUAUCGGAAGGUGCGGCUGGAUCACCUCCUUUCUAAGGAA